ACAUUGCAAAGAGUGGCGAACGGGUGAGUAACACGUGGGAAACCUACCUCUUAGCAGGGGAUAACAUUUGGAAACAGAUGCUAAUACCGUAUAACAAUAGCAACCGCAUGGUUGCUACUUAAAAGAUGGUUCUGCUAUCACUAAGAGAUGGUCCCGCGGUGCAUUAGUUAGUUGGUGAGGUAAUGGCUCACCAAGACGAUGAUGCAUAGCCGAGUUGAGAGACUGAUCGGCCACAAUGGGACUGAGACACGGCCCAUACUCC
RNAcentral lists this ribosomal RNA (262 nucleotides) under uncultured Weissella sp. RNAcentral describes it as "partial 16S ribosomal RNA". It matches the Rfam family "Bacterial small subunit ribosomal RNA", at positions 83 to 339 of the family's 1533-position model. Lineage: Bacteria; Bacillati; Bacillota; Bacilli; Lactobacillales; Lactobacillaceae. The record is from RNAcentral.